Molecule: ribosomal RNA, 508 nt
Filed under: Salmonella enterica
Lineage: Bacteria; Pseudomonadati; Pseudomonadota; Gammaproteobacteria; Enterobacterales; Enterobacteriaceae
Also listed under: 1 other name
Description: bacterial SSU rRNA
Rfam family: Bacterial small subunit ribosomal RNA
Source: RNAcentral
AAAUUGAAGAGUUUGAUCAUGGCUCAGAUUGAACGCUGGCGGCAGGCCUAACACAUGCAAGUCGAACGGUAACAGGAAGCAGCUUGCUGCUUUGCUGACGAGUGGCGGACGGGUGAGUAAUGUCUGGGAAACUGCCUGAUGGAGGGGGAUAACUACUGGAAACGGUGGCUAAUACCGCAUAACGUCGCAAGACCAAAGAGGGGGACCUUCGGGCCUCUUGCCAUCAGAUGUGCCCAGAUGGGAUUAGCUUGUUGGUGAGGUAACGGCUCACCAAGGCGACGAUCCCUAGCUGGUCUGAGAGGAUGACCAGCCACACUGGAACUGAGACACGGUCCAGACUCCUACGGGAGGCAGCAGUGGGGAAUAUUGCACAAUGGGCGCAAGCCUGAUGCAGCCAUGCCGCGUGUAUGAAGAAGGCCUUCGGGUUGUAAAGUACUUUCAGCGGGGAGGAAGGUGUUGUGGUUAAUAACCGCAGCAAUUGACGUUACCCGCAGAAGAAGCACCGGCU